CCUCAGGCCAGCCGGUCGGGCUGAGGGCACUGUGGGCCAGCUCGGGCCACCCAGUCUGCCUGCCUGUGGCCUCCUAUUGCAGAACUAGCGUUCGGUGAGAGAGCAGGAGCGAGGCUCCCGGAGCUGGAGUCCAGCGUGGAAUCCUAGGUCACCAAGUACUGAAAACCUAUGGUGAGACCAGAGACGCGUGGAGAAACGCAAAUGUCCAUGAGCUCCCUGUGGAACAAGAGCCAUAGCAAACCUCCUCCCCACCUCCAGGGACCCGAGCGGAGUUCUAGCUGACAGCGGGAAGGACACGGACACUGGUGACCACUGAGUCCAGGUAUAAGGACGGAAACCACUGGGGUAGGGCUUGCGGAUUAUGGUGGCCCCCAAAGGCACACAGGGUUUGGGUUUUGCGCUCUAAGUGAGAAGCGGGGUCAGGAGCUCCCGGGUUCCCUCUCCCCAGCCUGGGGGUAGGAGUCAG
Molecule: long non-coding RNA, 466 nt
Filed under: Chinchilla lanigera (long-tailed chinchilla)
Lineage: Eukaryota; Metazoa; Chordata; Mammalia; Rodentia; Chinchillidae
Description: lncRNA (ENSCLAG00000028757.1)
Source: RNAcentral